UGGGGAAUAUUGGACAAUGGGCGAAAGCCUGAUCCAGCCAUGCCGCGUGUGUGAAGAAGGUCUUCGGAUUGUAAAGCACUUUAAGUUGGGAGGAAGGGCAUUAACCUAAUACGUUAGUGUUUUGACGUUACCGACAGAAUAAGCACCGGCUAACUCUGUGCCAGCAGCCGCGGUAAUACAAAGGGCGCAAGCGUUAAUCGGAAUUACUGGGCGUAAAGCGCGCGUAGGUGGUUUGUUAAGUUGGAUGUGAAAUCCCCGGGCUCAACCUGGGAACUGCAUUCAAAACUGACUGACUAGAGUAUGGUAGAGGGUGGUGGAAUUUCCUGUGUAGCGGUGAAAUGCGUAGAUAUAGGAAGGAACACCAGUGGCGAAGGCGACCACCUGGACGAAUACUGACACUGAGGUGCGAAAGCGUGGGGAGCAAACA
Molecule: ribosomal RNA, 427 nt
Filed under: uncultured bacterium
Lineage: Bacteria
Description: partial 16S ribosomal RNA
Rfam family: Bacterial small subunit ribosomal RNA
Source: RNAcentral